AAGUCGUAACAAGGUUUCCGUAGGUGAACCUGCGGAAGGAUCAUUAACACGUACGAAAGUACAUACCAACACUGUGAACCUUUUAACCAAGGUACAACCUCUCCCUUUAGUUGGGCUGCUAUGUAUGAACGGCGCUAGUGGACAUUCAUCAUAGUAGGCUCGUGUCUUUACACGAACCCACCUGAAGGUUACCAUUCUCCCAUUAGCAUAUUUUACCUAUUUCACCUAUAAUUACAUUUGUCUAAUGUAGCAGCUUGGAGAAAUCCUUGCAGCUUUGAUUAUCUAAACUAAGCACAACUCUUAGCAAUGGAUAUCUAGGUUCUC
RNAcentral lists this unclassified non-coding RNA (324 nucleotides) under fungal sp. Its description in RNAcentral is "partial internal transcribed spacer region". The stretch from base 1 to 46 matches the Rfam family "Eukaryotic small subunit ribosomal RNA", at positions 1786 to 1831 of the family's 1831-position model. The record is from RNAcentral. Lineage: Eukaryota; Fungi.